Molecule: ribosomal RNA, 425 nt
Filed under: uncultured bacterium
Lineage: Bacteria
Description: partial 16S ribosomal RNA
Rfam family: Bacterial small subunit ribosomal RNA
Source: RNAcentral
GUGGGGAAUCUUAGACAAUGGGGGCAACCCUGAUCUAGCCAUGCCGCGUGAGUGAUGAAGGCCUUAGGGUCGUAAAGCUCUUUCGCUGGGGAAGAUAAUGACGGUACCCAGUAAAGAAACCCCGGCUAACUCCGUGCCAGCAGCCGCGGUAAUACGGAGGGGGUUAGCGUUGUUCGGAAUUACUGGGCGUAAAGCGCGCGUAGGCGGAUUGGAAAGUUGGGGGUGAAAUCCCGGGGCUCAACCCUGGAAUGGCCUUCAAAACUCCCAGUCUUGAGGUCGAGAGAGGUGAGUGGAAUUCCGAGUGUAGAGGUGAAAUACGUAGAUAUUCGGAGGAACACCAGUGGCGAAGGCGGCUCACUGGCUCGAUACUGACGCUGAGGUGCGAAAGCGUGGGGAGCAAACAGGAUUAGAAACCCCAGUAGUCC